GUUGGGCCUGCUCGGUGAGAAGAAAAAUUUAACAGCUGCGGUAUUAUAACUGUACUAAGGUAGCAUAAUAAUUUGCCUUAUAAAUUAAGGCUAGAAUGAAUGGUUUGACGAAAAUUAGACUGUCUUUAUUUUAUUUGUUAGAAAUUAAUUUUUAUAGUGAAAAAGCUUGAAUAAUUUAAGGGGACGAGAAGACCCUAUUGAGCUUUAUUUAUUAAUAUUUAAAUAUAAAUAUAUAAUUUAUAUUAUGAAAAUUAUGUUGUAUAUAUAUAUAUUUAAUUGGAUUUAAUUUUGAUUGGGGUGAUCAAGGAAUAAAAGAUAAAGUAACUUCCUUAAAAUUAAUAAUUGUUUUUAUAGAGUAAUAAACCAAGUUUUUUGCUUAUAAGAUAAGUUACCAUAGGGGUAACAGCGUAAUUUUUUUUGAGAGUUCAUAUUGAAAAAAGAGAUUGCGACCUCGAUGUUGGAUUAAAAAUUACCUUAAGG
This 480-nucleotide ribosomal RNA is filed under the name Callistoctopus minor (long arm octopus). Its description in RNAcentral is "partial 16S ribosomal RNA". It matches the Rfam family "Bacterial large subunit ribosomal RNA", at positions 1852 to 2552 of the family's 2925-position model. Lineage: Eukaryota; Metazoa; Mollusca; Cephalopoda; Octopoda; Octopodidae. The record is from RNAcentral.